UGCAGUCGAGGGGUAACAGAGGUAGCCUGCUACUUGCUGACGACCGGCGCACGGGUGCGUAACGCGUAUAGAAUCUACCUUGUACUAGGGGAUAGCCUUUGGAAACGAAGAUUAAUACCCUAUAGUAAGUAUUUAUGGCAUCAUUUAUACUUUAAAGGUUACGGUACAAGAUGACUAUGCGUCCUAUUAGUUUGUUGGUGAGGUAACGGCUCACCAAGACUUCGAUAGGUAGGGGCCCUGAGAGGGGGAUCCCCCACACUGGUACUGAGACACGGACCAGACUCCUACGGGAGGCAGCAGUGAGGAAUAUUGGACAAUGGAGGCAACUCUGAUCCAGCCAUGCCGCGUGCAGGAUGACGGCCCUAUGGGUUGUAAACUGCUUUUAUGUAGGAAGAAACACUCUCACGUGUGAGAGCUUGACGGUACUACAAGAAUAAGGACCGGCUAACUCCGUGCCAGCAGCCGCGGUAAUACGGAGGGUCCAAGCGUUAUCCGGAAUCAUUGGGUUUAAAGGGUCCGUAGGCGGGCUAUUAAGUCAGAGGUGAAAGUUUGCAGCUCAACUGUAAAAUUGCCUUUGAA
Molecule: ribosomal RNA, 579 nt
Filed under: uncultured bacterium
Lineage: Bacteria
Description: bacterial SSU rRNA
Rfam family: Bacterial small subunit ribosomal RNA
Source: RNAcentral